RNAcentral lists this ribosomal RNA (420 nucleotides) under uncultured bacterium. RNAcentral's name for it is "bacterial SSU rRNA". It matches the Rfam family "Bacterial small subunit ribosomal RNA", at positions 263 to 675 of the family's 1533-position model. The record is from RNAcentral.
GCUUACCAUGGCAAUGAUGCGUAGCCGAACUGAGAGGUUGAUCGGCCACAUUGGGACUGAGACACGGCCCAAACUCCUACGGGAGGCAGCAGUAGGGAAUCUUCCACAAUGGGCGAAAGCCUGAUGGAGCAACGCCGCGUGGGUGAAGAAGGUCUUCGGAUCGUAAAACCCUGUUGUUAGAGACGCCCGUGCGUGAGAGUAACUGUUCACGUUUCGACGGUAUCUAACCAGAAAGCCACGGCUAACUACGUGCCAGCAGCCGCGGUAAUACGUAGGUGGCAAGCGUUAUCCGGAUUUAUUGGGCGUAAAGGGAACGCAGGCGGUCUUUUAAGUCUGAUGUGAAAGCCUUCGGCUUAACCGGAGUAGUGCAUUGGCAACUGGGGGCCUUGAGUGCAGGAGAGGUGAGUGGAAUUCCUUGUG